This 408-nucleotide ribosomal RNA is filed under the name uncultured eukaryote. RNAcentral's name for it is "SSU rRNA". It matches the Rfam family "Eukaryotic small subunit ribosomal RNA", at positions 203 to 611 of the family's 1831-position model. The record is from RNAcentral.
CACUUAUUAGAUAUUAAACCAAUCCCAGCAAUGGGUUUCUUGGUGAUUCAUAGUAACUGAACAAAUCACAUGGUCUUGUACUGGUGAUGUUUCAUUCAAAUUUCUGCCCUAUCAACUAGAUGGUAGUAUAUAGGACUACCAUGGUUGUAACGGGUAACGGAGGAUUAGGGUUUGAUUCCGGAGAAGGAGCAUGAGAAACGGCUACUAUUUCUAAGGAAAGCAGCAGGCGCGCAAAUUAUUCAAUGGAAACAAUUUUCCGAAAUAGUGACAAAAAAUAUCAAUGCUAGGUACUAUGUAUUUAGUAAUUGGAAUGAGUACAAUUUAAAUCCCUUAACAAGUAACAAUUAGAGGGCAAGUCUGGUGCCAGCAGCCGCGGUAAUUCCAGCUCUAAUAGCGUAUAUUAAUAUU